CACACCAGAAAUGCUGCUGCUGGCGCCACUUCCAGGUCAACGCGUUUCCAAACCAUAACGUGCGAUAGGUCUACCUAGGAACUCGUCCAGAGCUUUUGACAGGUUUGCGGUAGAGCCAGAUAGAACACAAAAGGGAAGCAUACCAUCUCUUGCAAGUAGGCAACGUAAAGAGGAUGCAGAAUGCGAGAAAAGACGUAAGG
This 200-nucleotide ribosomal RNA is filed under the name uncultured eukaryote. RNAcentral describes it as "partial 18S ribosomal RNA". The record is from RNAcentral.